UUCAGAAAGCUCAGUCGGUGGAGCAUGGGACUGUUAAUCUCAGGGUCAUGGGUUUGAGCCCCACAUCGGGCAAAG
Molecule: transfer RNA, 75 nt
Filed under: Podarcis lilfordi (Lilford's wall lizard)
Lineage: Eukaryota; Metazoa; Chordata; Lepidosauria; Squamata; Lacertidae
Description: tRNA.Asn
Rfam family: tRNA (bases 8-64)
About the family: Transfer RNA (tRNA) molecules are approximately 80 nucleotides in length. Their secondary structure includes four short double-helical elements and three loops (D, anti-codon, and T loops). Further hydrogen bonds mediate the characteristic L-shaped molecular structure. tRNAs have two regions of fundamental functional importance: the anti-codon, which is responsible for specific mRNA codon recognition, and the 3' end, to which the tRNAs corresponding amino acid is attached (by aminoacyl-tRNA synthetases). tRNAs cope with the degeneracy of the genetic code in two manners: having more than one tRNA (with a specific anti-codon) for a particular amino acid; and 'wobble' base-pairing, i.e. permitting non-standard base-pairing at the 3rd anti-codon position.
Source: RNAcentral